Amphiprion ocellaris (clown anemonefish) is the source of this 12532-nucleotide long non-coding RNA. RefSeq lists it as uncharacterized. The record is from RefSeq and is a predicted model, not a curated record. NCBI's taxonomy places the organism in Eukaryota, Metazoa, Chordata, Actinopteri, Pomacentridae. The transcript is spliced from 2 exons.
AAUUGCAUACAGGGCUUGUGGGGUGUUGAGUAUCAGGCAUAAGCUGAUCUGUGGGACUCCUCCAAUGGCAGCUGCAGAAAAUCAGCGCUGAAAUGUGUAACCAGAGUUGAAUACAGAAACAAUGUACUCCAUUUGUAGGUAGGUCUAUAAAAUGUGACACAACGGUGAAAGAUAGCUGUUGUAAGUCCAGUGUGGCAUUUUUUUUUAGGUAACUAUGAUGUAUGACCAAGAAAUGCAGAAAAUUAUUACAGCUGUGAAGUGGAAUUCACAAAAUGUUUGGCAAAGAUUACAGAAAUGGCUUAUCAAUUAACAAAACAGUUGCUGGCUAAUUGUUCAACCAGCUUUAAAUGACACAUUGGAACUAUACAUUAUAUCCAACAUUAACAGCAUGUCCUCUGCAGAGGUGGUGGCCUAAGAGUGGUCAGAGACAGACUUAAAACAUUAAAAAUCAUGAUAUCCAGAACAACACAGACCACACUGUAGCAGUCGAGAUUUGACAAUAUUUCCUGAUUAUCGGUAUUGUCACUUUACUAACUGAUUACUGAUAAUAUAAAUUAAAAGAGGUACUUUGGCUUUGAUGCAGCCAUCUCUCUGUAAUUACUCAGUGGUCUCAAGCAAUGCUCCGCCCACAGCUCUCUCUGACUGGCUGUUGCAUGUCACCAGUAACAGCUAAUCAACAUAGAAAGUUACUGUUUAUAGACAGAACAAUUGAGUGCAUUUGCAAAUCAGAGUGUAUCUGUGAAUUAGCAGAGCUGUGUUUAGAAGGUGAGGUAAUUCACGUAAUCGUAAAGUACAGCUGGAACUUAUUUUGCUGACGGUGCUAGGCUAAGGCUACCGCUAGGAGUUUUGCUGUGCCUCUUGUCUGUGGCGAGCGCCAUCUGGUGCACCUGUAGCAUCUUUCCAAAGUAAGAUUAACUUUAACACUGUGUUCUAACUGACAGACACAUAUCUCCAGCAACGACUUAACCAGCAAAAACUGAAGAAGAAACACGAGCUGUCGCCAUAAAUAAGGAAGUUAGGUACGUUAGUAGUGGCUAAGGCUAUGCUAACGACUAACAGCUAAGUUAGGAGGCUGCCAUGGAUUACCCCAAAAAACUGUCUGGAGAACAAUAAUUAAUAAUGCUUUAAGAUCUGGACCUAAGUGGCCAAUAAAAGUAAUAGAACAGAGAAUCAGAAAAUACAGAAAAACAGCAGAUGUAACUGCAGGAGACAAACUUAUCAAACUCAAAGAAUCAGUCUCACCAUAAACAGACAAGAACGUCAAAGCAUCACGUGACACUAUGAUGUCACCUCCCCUAUUUCUAUUGUACAUAUUCAGUCACAGUAAUUAUUAUUAAUGAAGUAACCUAGUUAUGAAUAAGUUCCCUGCUAUCAUAUGCUGCUGCAGUAGAACAUUUAAUGUAGUAUAUCGUAUAAUGAUUAUCUGUCUUUCUUGAUGACCAAUUAUCACCAUUGGUCUCAUCCCUGAAAAGCUGUGUUGGUUGAUCUCAAAACUAGAUUUUAUGAGUAUACAUGGCUUCUUUUUAGUCCAUAGCAUGGAGUAUUAACAAUUACUGAAGGCAGUAACAGUUGCUGGUUUACGUAGCUGCUUAUGUUUGACAGAAUAAUGUGGUCUGUGUGAAAUAAAGUGUUGUUGUACUGAAAGUUGUACAGUGAAUCAGCACUGGUGUUGAAAAUUUUCAACAGACACCAAACCGUAAAUAGAAACUUGCAUCAGCAUGUUGCCUCGGUUCUCAUUCUCCACCUGAAGGUGUUUGUACAGCUCCAGUACUCCGAGCCAGAGACCUGCAGGUUGGUUUGGGUCCUGCCAUCCUCCGAGUUGUUUUACAUUUUUACAACAACACCUGGAGACAAAUAAACCGCCUCUCAUUAAAAGUAUUGUCACUUUAGUCACUGAAACCAUCUGCUACAAAACAAAAAAUGUGUUAGUAUCUCGGCCUCCUGCUGCAUUUCUACAUUAAGCCAAGUCCUGCAACAGAAACACAAACAGUGGCAGCAGCUAAAGUAUCUCACUGUAGAGUAAUUAAACAAUGUGAUACAUUUGGUAAUUUACAUGGACGAAGCAGGGAAUGCUGACCUAUUGUAAUCGCGAAAAAAGUAUUUGUGAGCUGCACCAUACCUUUUGGGAGAGCUCACUUUUAUCACUUAUUUGAUAAACACAUGAAAGUUGCUACUGCUGCCUGGUCUUAGCAUCAUCGAGGGUUAACUUUGUUCUUCUGUUUUAAUGCGGUUUGCAUCAAGAAUGUUGUUUUUGUUUGUUUGUUCUAACUUUGAGUUAAAGUGAGUGAAGUUUAUGAUAUUGAACUGUUAGGCUCUGGUGGUUGUGGCAAGCACAGCAUGCAUGCAAAUAUCUUUAUAAAAGUCAGUUGGGGAUGAAUCAUUCACCAAUAAUACACCUGUAAUGGGGUAAUUUUACACAAACAGAAAAGCAGAAAUAUUCAGAAUUUCACAAGUCAUGGUUUUCGGAAAGAUAAUUAUCUAUGCACCGCUUAAUCCUCAUUAGGGUCGCGGGGGGGCUGGAGUCUAUCCCAGCUCACUGAGGGUGAAGGUAGGAGACACCUAGACAGGUAACAGUCUAUCACAGGCCAGGACGUGAACCAGGGAACCUCUAACUGCAAUUAAACAGUGCUCACCACCGAGCCACUGUGCAGCCUAGGAAAAAUCAUGUCUCAUUAAAAAUAGCUGACCUUCUGCAGGUUUUCCUGUAGUUCACAUUAUGAGAACAGUGUGGGUCAACAGUCACAGUUCGUUUAAUAUUAACAUUUGCAAGAAGGUCGGAUUACCCAUUUCAAAUCUGGUGUCUUGAUUAUAUGUUGUCUAAUUUUUAAUAUAGAUAUGUGUGUUAUCUGAGGGAGUCUGUCAUGGUAGUGGAACCAGAGGCUUUACAAUAAUGUGAAUUUCUUUAGACAUGCAGGAUGAAAUGGUUCUAUGUAAAGGCUCAUGAUACCUUCAGUUUAAACACUUUACUUAAGUAGUCCUUAAACUUUUAAAACUUUAUAAUUACCGUCACUUUGGGUUUACACAAGAAAUGUUAGCAUAAAAUAUAUCAUAUGCAUCUUUUAACUGCAAAAACAGAAGUUUUGAACACUGGCAUAAACAUAUUAAAUGUCCAUAGCCUUGUUUAACAAAGAUCCGUACAUUUGUCAAACGCUCAUAUUGCUUGAAAGCCUAAUUAAUAUCAUGGUUCAUUAACUGUCAUCUCACAAGGUGAGCACUUGGUCCUUCUGAGAUUUUAUUGAAUUAUGAAACUUUAACUGAAUUGAAGUUAUUGCUGGGACUGUUUUAAUAAACUGCCUUGUGGGGAGCUGUGGUACUUUUAAAGCUGUGACAUUUAUAGAUGACAACACUGUAUUUUUCUGUGGAGGAUUAAUCCACAUCUGGUGCUCGAGUGAGUAUUUAUGGAGGCAGGAUGGUGUGUGUCAGAACAAAUUUCAGUGUGUGUGUGUGGUGAUGAAGGAACAUGUCAGUCACUGGAACACUGAUGUGUUUUUAAUAGUUUUUGACAAAAAUUGAGUUUGCUGCCACAGAGGAAUAAUCAGGCUUUGAAACACACACAAUGCUUGUUAGUUGGAUAAAUAUGGCUUGCAUGUUCUUAUGGGAUGCGUUGACAGUCAGAAAACUAUAGAAAAUAUCCAGAGUUAUCCAUUGAAGGACUUUCUGAGCUAUUUUGACGUUUUCUGUGAAAAUAUGUAGAAGACCCUCUUAAUGUUGCAUUUAAAUGACCCAAACACACGUGGACAUCUGAGAGACACUGCUGUCCUGCAUCCCUAAGAUCCCCCAUAGCAUUCAGAUUUUGUUACUGUCUAUGGCACUUCUGCUAGAAGGUCAACGGGCCCCAGAGCAAUAUAUCAGGCUGUCCCUUUACAAAGGCCAGAUAUGUAUCUCACAUGCUAGGUAAGAAAACUAAAAUGUUUCAGUAUAUAGUACAUGUACAGUACCACCAUGUCCUGCAUCAGUGUUAUGUCCUUGUUGGGGACACAUUACGGGCACAUUAAAAUAAAGGUAUGUGGUCAAAAGCAUCCUAAACCGACUUGACAAGCGGUUUGAGUGAGUACAUUGCGAUGUGUCUUGAUGGUCAUUCACACUUGCGUUGUUCACUUGGGAACCGAAUGCUUAAACUGCAUUUUAAACACAGUGUAAACAGGGCCUAAAUAUGCUCUAAACCAGAGAUUUGAGGGGGGGCGUGAAGCUUUGUCUGUUCUGAGGCUGUGAUGUUAUAAAAAAUAGAUUUUUACAUUCUGGAUAAAAUCAGAGUAACAGACUCACUGUGUCAUCACAAGUCUACCUAUAAAACAUUUUUAAAACACAUUUAUUUGGUCUUUCUUCAAAAAUCCUUUGCUUCUUCGAUGGCCACACCUCCUUGAUCUUUCAACUUCUCACCACGCUUUCUUCAGGUUGGCACGUAGUUCAUCCCGAUUCAUUAGUUUGUGUGCAGUUAGAAAAUUACUGACAGAAACGGUGUCUGAAAAACGCAAAACGGGUGAAGAUUCAUCAGUACCUAAAAACUCCGGCUAUACCUCGAGAGUUACCUUAAAUUUGGUUUUAUUAAAGGACAAGACAGAAUUAUGUUAUUUGUAGUGAAAUGCUCGGAAAUGACAGCAUGAAGCCAGCGAAUUAUGGCGACGUCAGGAAACAAAACACAGUUCAGUAAAGUCGGAAAGAUACUCACAGAUUCGGACUUCCGGCAUCAAUAACUCAUUAAAUAUACAUUUUCAAAACAUAAACAAUGCCUCUUUGUUUAUGGGGAUGGGGUGCAGCUUACAGAGGGGCUCCAAGCCAAACAGGUUGGGAACCACUGCUCUAAACUAUGAUCACUAAAUGGAAAUAUAUUCAGUGGUGGUUUUGGUAAGGAACAUAGAAUAGCAACAGAUUUAUCUCUUAACAAACACUGUUUUUUUGACCUCACUGCAGAUGUCUUUUCCUCUUUUUCCUGUUUUUAUAGCUGUUUAUUAGUGACAUUAAUUGGCCAAAGGACACGGCAGCUUUCUAACAGAUGAAGCUAAAUGAACCUGUUGACAGCUCAGUCUGACUAAUGCCAGGAUCUAAGUUAGUUUCUCUUAUAUCUGUCCACUUCCUUUAACUCUUGAUCCUCUUGUCGCUGUACAUGCAUGGAUGGACUAGAGCUGAAGCAAGUGUGUAGAAAGAGUUAUUUGAUAAUUAAGUGUUCAGGUCCUGUUUCAGCUACAUUUGCAGUGUAGCUGUACACAUAAGAAUGUUCAAUAUUGGAGAGGCAAGUGGAAGGAAUUCCAUGAAAUUUUGGCAAAACACCAAGGCCUCUAGAAGAUGAAUCCUGCUGACUUCAAUGUUUUCCUGACUGUUCCAGUAGCUAAAUUCCAUCCAUUAUCUAUACACCGCUUAAUCCUCACUAGGGUCGCGGGGGGAGCUGGAGCCUAUCCCAGCUGACUCGGGCGAAGGCAGGGGACACCCUAGACAGGUCGCCAGUCUGUCGCAGGGCUACAUAUAUAGACAAACAAGCACUCACACAUUCACACCUACGGGCAAUUUAGAGUAAUCAAUUAACCUCAGCAUAUUUUUGGACUGUGGGAGGAAGCCGGAGUACCCGGAGGAAACCCACGCAUGCACAGGGAGAACAUGCAAACUCCAUGCAGAAAGAUCCCGGGAAAGCCGGGACGUGAACCAGGGAUCUUCUCGCUGCAAGGCGAAAGUGCUAACCUAAAACAUUUGAAAAAACAAACAUUAAAAAGACAAAACAUUUUGAAAUCAAAUCAGAUAUUAGAAAAGAAUAAAAGUUGAGAAGAGUAAAACUAAACAUUUAAGAAGAAUCAAACUAAAGACAAAACAUUUGAAAAGACCAGUUAGACUUUAGAAGAUCAAAUUAAACAGAAGAGACAAUAAAAUGAUCAAAAAGAGCAAAAACAGAUAAAGGUCUUUCUUUUGCGUUUUCUAGUCUGAAAUGAAAACAUCAGCUUGUUUCUUCAAACAUUUCCUCUUUCUAUGUUCUUGGUUUGAUUGUGGACAGAUUUACUAAGUGCUCCUUUAAGAAAACUGCUUUCCAGAUAAAGUCUACUAGUAGUUGAAGGCAUGGAUCAAACUAAUGUUACCUUCUGAUCUCCACAAACUUUACUGUUCAGUGAAGAGAAUCAAAGUUUGUUGAGGAUUUCUAAAAAACCCACAGGUGAAGGUCUGAGAAGAACUCAGAUGGAUGAUCUAAAUGUGAAAUCAAGACUCAUGGUCACAAGUUUUAAGGCUUCUGUUAACCAUAAAGUUCAAACUAACAGAAGUACUGAGAACCCUUUAAGAUUUCAGCCCUCAGACUCUCUGAAGGUUCAAACAGAGAACUACUCAAGAACUUUUAGGAUUUCAGUUCUCGAACUGUCUAAAAGCUCAAACUAACAGAGAAGUACUGAGAAACUUUUAAAAUUUUAGUCCUCAGACUGUCUGAAGGUUCAAACUAACAGAGAACUACUCAAGAACUUUUAAGUUUUCAGUCCUCAGACUGUCUGAAGGUUCAAACUAACAGAGAAGUACUCAGGAACUUAGAAGAUAUCAGUCCUUGGACUGUCUGAAAGUUAAAUCUAACAGAGAACUACUGUGAGACUUAGAAAAUUUCAGCCCUCAGACUGUGUGAAAGCUCAGGUCCUUAGGACUCGGGAGGUGUGGAGGCUUUGGAAAGUCUUGGAACUGAGGGUUCAACCCUCCAGCACAAAGGCUGAAGUCCAGCCUCCUGAGAAAAACGGUCGAGUCGAGACUCAAGUUAAAAAAAAAACACUCGAUGACAAAAAAUAGAUGAUAAAUGCGCAAUAAAAAGAAGCUUUAGUAUCUGAGCGAAUAGCUCAGGGGUAAGACGAAAGACUACCAACUGGAAGGUAGCCGGUUCAAGACCCACCACCGGCAGUUUUCUUUCUUUGUCUUUGUCAGGAUUUUGAGAAAAAUUUAAGACGGAUCUGGUCUUGAACCAGCACCCUGCAGCUCCACAGACAAACUCUUAACUCACUGAGCUACAGAUCAGACAAAAAGACAUAAAUUCGUCGUCCCUUUGGCAUCGUAGUUUCUCAAGUGACCACAUGGGUGGAGCCAAGGUGGAGUCUGGGUGGAGUCAGGGCGGAGAGUAGGCGGGGAGGUGGGUGGCAGCCUCCCCCCUCUACUCCCCCGCCUCCCCCCACCACCCACCACACCUUCCCCCGCCCCACGAGUUCUUCGAGUCUCCACGAGUUCUUCGAGUCUCCACGGGUUUUCCCGAGUUUCUGGAGUUUCCACCAGGUCCGAGGCAGAACAAGUUGUCAUGAAGAGGUGUUGAAGUCAGCCAGGAUGGACUGACUUUUUACAGCGACUAGAAGGAAGACGACUAGAAGAGCAGAUCUUUAACCACCAUCCAUAAAAUCCAUGGAGUCGGCUCCAGAGAAAUGAAGGGAGGUCAACUUUUAUCAACCUCCAUCCAGAUGUUCAACUUCAUAUCUUUAGUUUGACAUUUUUAGCACCACACAAACCUUUAGUAUCACACUUUAUUAUCAUUUAUUAGGACUUUCAUGGAAUCCACCAGCAGAUAUACUUUUUGUUGACAAACUUUAUUCUUGUCGUCGUGGGACUGCAGUAUUUAAAACUCUUCCCUUCUAUUUGACCUCAUGUUUACUAGUUUUAGUGGAGAAAGUUAUUUUAAUUGUCCAUUAGUCUCUUAAAAACCAAACAGUAAAUUGGAUUAGUCAAGAGGUUUAAAUUUCUUACUUUGUCAUAUUUUAAAUAUGAGAGUUAGCUUUAGCUGAGCCAAAUAACAUGUGGGACGCUAACCUAGCAAACAUUUCAGACUUUUCUCUGUGAAUUCUGAGAAAUAAUUUCCUAUUUAAUGACAGAGCUACACAUCUUAACUCAGUUUCAUUAAAACAGACUCUAAUUCAGAGUCAUCCAUCCAUAUUAAAGCGCAGUUACCCAAAAUGUUUGUUGCAUGAGCUCCAACAAAACCUGUCCAGGUAGAAGGCCACUUUGACAAACAGGAAGUGGAAGAAUCCAAGCAGAUUUAUAGAAGGGGGAACCGGACUGCACUAAGUGUGGUCGAGUGUAGAGGGGUGUUUUGUGGGUUUUUAAGGGUGAUAAUGAUUAUUAGUGAGACAUUUGAAGUAGAUAUUCAUUUGCAGUAAAUGAAAGUAUUUAAAAUCUUGGAGUUAAACUUAGAAGAACACAAACUAACAGAAAACUUUGUUGAUACGUUUUUGUUUUGUUUACAGGUGUUAAGUUAACCCUUUAACAUCCUCACCAAGAAAAAGGCAAUGAAAAAAUUAUUUCUUUAUAUUUCUUAUGUCUUUUGGGCACUAAUAACAACAAUCAAUGGUUUUUUUAUGAAGAGACCCAGCAAUUUUUAAAAUACUGACCUCUACCAAAUGGUUGAGAAAAAUUAUUUCACCCUUUUAAAUCUUUUUUUUUUUUACAUUUCAAAUGAUACAUUUGUGUUCAGCAACUCCUGAGGCACCAUAAUAUGCCAAAAGUAUUACUUUACCUUUGAAAAUCACAGCAAACAGAGGCCUCAUGUGAGGAGUGAUUUUGCUCAUGCUAACUUCCUGUGAGCAGACUAACUUGCUCUGCAUGCUAUUUCAAAACAGUGACAUCUAUUGGACUUUUUUUUGUAUAAUGUACCUUAGAGUGGUACCUAAUGAGGGGUAGAGAUGGCUGAAACAGGUGGAUUGAAGUAAAACAUAUUUGUCAAUAAGAUUUAGUGUUGAAAAAUGACAUUUUUCGACAGUAUACUAUGGCUUUGUUUUUAAUACCAAAAUUCAUGAUGAUCUUUUUUUCAAAGAAAACCUUUCUGGAGUGUUUUUCAUGGCCUCCUUUACAUUAUUUCUUCAUAUGGCAUGUUUUCACAACAUGUUGAAAAAUGACAUUUUUCGACAUAGUAUACUAUGGCGUUUUUUUGGCGCCAAAAUUCAUGAUGAUUUUUUUUCAAAGAAAACCUUUCUGGAGUGUUUUUCACAGCCUGCUUCACAUUAUUUCAUCAUAUGGCACGUUUUCACAACAUGUUGAAAAAUGACAUUUUUCGACAUAGUAUACUAUGGUGUUUUUUUGUGCCAAAAUUCAUGAUGAUUUUUUUUUCAAAGAAAACCUUUCUGGAGCGUUUUUCACGGCCUCCUUUACAUUAUUUCAUCAUAUGGCACGCUUUUACAACAUGUUGAAAAAUUGCAUUUUUUUUUCGACAUAGUAUACUAUGGCAUUUUUUUUUUGCGCCAAAAUUCAUGAUGAUUUUUUUUCAAAGAAAACCUUUCUGGAGUGUUUUUCACAGCCUGCUUUACAUUAUUUCAUCAUAUGGCAUGUUUUCACAACAUGUUGAAAAAUGACAUUUUUCGACAUAGUAUACUACGGCGUUUUUUUGCGCCAAAAUUCAUGGAUUUUUUUUUCAAAGAGAACCUUACCAUAGUGUUUUUCAUGGCCUCCUUUACAUUAUUUCUUCAUAUGGCACGUUUUUACAACAUGUUGAACAACUGCAUUUUUUUUCGACAUAGUAUACUAUGGCGUUUUUUGGACGACAUGCUAUACUAUGACGUUUUUUGGACCAAAGGCUAUACUAUGACGUUUUAAGAGCGACAUGUUAUACUAUGACGUUUUUUGAGCGACAUGCUAUACUAUGACGUUUUUUUAGCAACAUGCUAUACUAUGAUGUUUUUUGGACGACAUCCUAUAGUAUGACGUUUUUUGAGCAACAUGGUAUACUGUGACAUUUUUUGAGCGACAUGCUAUACUAUGACGUUUUUUGAGAACGCCACCGAGCCUCGGCCCAGUCGGCCGCCUGUCUGUGGGUGUUUGAGUGCGUGAGAGGUUUGUGGAUGCAUGUGAACGUGUCUGUAUUGAAACAGCAGCUUUUGAGUCAGUAACGCCACUAAAAGUGAAGAGCUCCUUUAUUUGUGACUUCCACGAAAAAAACUGAUGAAAAUACGUUUGCCACGGUUCUGACUGAUAACAGAUUAUUAAAUAAUGAAAAUAAUCUUUUAAAUAUUCCUUUAAACAAUCCUUUUAGGUCUACAUUUCCUUUACACUGACUUCUUGGUAUAUGUACAAGUAUUUUGGGUGGAAUAUACCAUUAAGCCCAAUGUUCAAGGGUUCUUCUGGGAAUAUACCAUUAAACCAACCUUUUAGGUAAAUGUUCCAAGAUUCUGGGUAGAAUAUACCAUCAGAUCAACCUUUUAGGUCUACAUUGGAAGAUUUUAGAGUAGAAUAUUACUCCAAACCAUCCUUUAGGUCUACAUUUAAGGUGGAAUACUCCUUUACACCAAGAUUUUUUUGGUCUACAUUGAAGGAUUUUAGGUGGAAUAUUCCUUUGAACGAACUUUUUAAGUUUAUGUUCAAGGAUGUUGGGUGGAAUAUACCAUCAGACCAACCUCCAAGGUCUACAGUAGUGAAUUUUAGGUGGAAUAUACCAUUAAACUCACCUUUUAGGUCUACAUUGGAGGAUUUUAGGUGGAAUUUUCUUUCAGUCUGUCUUUUAGUCUACAUGUAAGGAUGUUUAGGAUGGUAUAUUCUUCCAAACCAACUUCUCAGGUCUACAUUUCAGGUGGAAUAUUCCUCCAUACUAACUUUUUUGGUCGACAUUGAAGGAUUUUUUCUAAACCACCCUUUCGGGUCUAUAUUUGAGGUUUUAGGUGGAAUAUUCCUUUUAACCAGCCCAUCAGGUCUCUUUGAGGAUUUUGGAUGGAAUACUCGGUUAAACCGACAUUUUAGGUGCAUGUCCAAGGAUUUUUGGUGGAAUGUUCCUUUGAGGUGGAUGUGUGAGGACCUUGUAGGUGGAAUACUUCCUGAAACCAACCUUUUAGGUCAACAUUCAAAGAUUUAAGGUGAAAAAUUCCUUUAAACCAACCUAAAUUUCAUGUUUUGAUCAUUAUCAAGUGAGAACCCUCAAUCCAGACUCCUCAUAAUGAUGUUUGAGAUUUAUGCUGCUGUUAUUUGUUUAGUCCAGACUAAAUGACAGAAAUCCACAACUGUAAUUUUAUUUCAGGACUCGGUUAUUAAAUGUCAGAACAAUCCAUGUGACUCUAAAAACUCAACAGCUGUACAAACUCUAAGAUUAAACUCUCCACAAGGAUCCAAAAUAAGCUGGACUUCUACAUGAGAGCUUCAAUUAUUCUUCAUCUCCUUCCUGAAAAGUUUGGUCAAUAGAAAAGACUAAUAUUUUCAGCUGAACUAAAGACAGACUUUGUGAUUUUUCUGCUCACAUGUUGUGUUGUUGUAAACUUACUCUUUCAAAUAAAUAUCCUCCUAACCCCCUGGAAACCAGCGUUUGUCCUGUUUUUGUGUUGCUCCUCAGCGACCCUAGACAGCCGGGUCCUAAUGUUUUUUGAGCAACACACUAUACUAUGAUGUUUUUACAGUGAUGGUUCUACUAUGGAACCAGUUUGACAUGUUCAGGCGUUCUUUGUGUGAAAACUCAGAGAUUUCAGGUAUCAGAAGGUGGUUUUCAACUUUCUUUGUUAACUUUCUGCUUCAACUUUAAACUAAAUUUCCUUCACUAAGCCAGCCCUCUGGACUUCCAGUAAGCUGUGUUCCUAUUGGCUGUCCAGGUGGCUGCUUGGUGUUAUCAGGAACACCUGAGCAGCUCAGUGUCUUCCUGCUUUAUUUAGCUGCAGACAAACAUUUCCUCUGCUUCUGUUCACCACUGAACCGGGUUUGGCUCCAUUGCCUUAGUUUGUUCUUUAGCCGUUGGCUUACAGCAGUAAAAUAGGCUUUAAUGUGUUUCUUGGUGUGUUUUAGGGCUUUGUACUGGAUAGUUGUCUUGGUAAAUGUGCUUCUUUAGUCACAGUUAGCACAUGGUGCUAAUGUGUGCGUGAUUAGUGGAUUUGAUGCAGCUGAGUUGUGUCUUCAUCUUGGCUGUAGUGAGUCUCUAGAGGUUUUUGAUCAGACACAUUCUGUAUUCUUGGUUGUCCAGAAGGUAAGAGUUCCUGUCCUGAUUCUCUGUUCUCAGAGGUUCUCUGGUAGGCUGCAGGAGACUUUAGCGUUUGGGUUGUGCUAGUUUGGUUUUUGUAUGGUUUCAUUUGGACGACUAUCUUGAGGCUCCUCCAUGUGGUUUAGUGAGGUUUUCUGUAACAGUUCUACAAAGCAACCUGCAGCAGAAGAGACUUUCAGAGUUUUUAGGAAGUUCUGCAGAGCAGACUUUAGAGCAGCAGAAACAUUUGUCAGCAGUUUGAGCAGUAGAAAUGAGAUGGAAACCUUCUUGACCCGUGUGGUGAGGUCCUGUACCAAGAGUUUGAGCAGGUUGUGAAGAGUCUGUAGUUCUUUGGUCUGAAAGCACAAGAAGAGUCGACUCAUUAAAGGAGAAAACAGGAGAUAUUGUUGGUUCUUCUGUCGCUCUGCAGUUUCCUUAGACUGAAUAUCAAGUUUAUAUUUUAAAUGAUUUACCAUGUGAGCCCAAGAAGACUUCAGUAAACUCCCUCCAUCCCCUGGACACAACAUAUUUUAUUACCAUGUUAAAUCUUUUUUUUUGUUUUUUAAUGUUUUUGAGUUUGAAUCCUAGUUUUAGCAUAGUUUCUUCUCUUUGCUUGUUUAGUUUUUUCAUCUGUGUAAAAGGUGCUGAACAAAUAAAGUUGAAUCGAUAAACUGA